AACGAACGCUGGCGGCAUGCCUAACACAUGCAAGUCGAACGGGAUCCUAGCUUGCUAGGUGAGAGUGGCGGACGGGUGAGUAACACGUGGGAAUCUGCCUUUUGGUUCGGGAUAACCGCGGGAAACUGCGGCUAAUACCGAAUGCCUUCGUGAGAGGAAAGAUUUAUCGCCAGAAGAGGAGCCCGCGUCCGAUUAGGUAGUUGGUGGGGUAAAGGCCUACCAAGCCGACGAUCGGUAGCUGGUCUGAGAGGAUGAUCAGCCACACUGGGACUGAGAUACGGCCCAGACUCCUACGGGAGGCAGCAGUGGGGAAUAUUGGACAAUGGGGGCAACCCUGAUCCAGCAAUGCCGCGUGAGUGAUGAAGGCCUUAGGGUUGUAAAGCCCUUUUGCCAGGGAAGAUGAUGACUGUACCUGGAGAAUAAGCCCCGGCUAACUUCGUGCCAGCAGCCGCGGUAAU
RNAcentral lists this ribosomal RNA (458 nucleotides) under uncultured bacterium. RNAcentral describes it as "bacterial SSU rRNA". It matches the Rfam family "Bacterial small subunit ribosomal RNA", at positions 29 to 524 of the family's 1533-position model. The record is from RNAcentral.